RNAcentral lists this transfer RNA (84 nucleotides) under Pectinopitys ferruginea. RNAcentral's name for it is "Prumnopitys ferruginea tRNA-Tyr". Lineage: Eukaryota; Viridiplantae; Streptophyta; Pinopsida; Araucariales; Podocarpaceae. The record is from RNAcentral.
UGGGUCGAGCUGGAUUUGAACCAGCGUCGGCAUAUUGCCAACGAAUUUACAGUCCGUCCCCAUGAGCCACUCGGGCAUCGACCC